AUAGGUUAAUGAGGCGAACCGGGGGAACUGAAACAUCUAAGUACCCCGAGGAAAAGAAAUCAACCGAGAUUCCCCCAGUAGCGGCGAGCGAACGGGGAGGAGCCCAGAGCCUGAAUCAGUGUGUGUGUUAGUGGAAGCGUCUGGAAAGGCGCGCGAUACAGGGUGACAGCCCCGUACACAAAAAUGCACAUAUUGUGAGCUCGAUGAGUAGGGCGGGACACGUGGUAUCCUGUCUGAAUAUGGGGGGACCAUCCUCCAAGGCUAAAUACUCCUGACUGACCGAUAGUGAACCAGUACCGUGAGGGAAAGGCGAAAAGAACCCCGGCGAGGGGAGUGAAAAAGAACCUGAAACCGUGUACGUACAAGCAGUGGGAGCCUCUUAAUGGGGUGACUGCGUACCUUUUGUAUAAUGGGUCAGCGACUUAUAUUCUGUAGCAAGGUUAACCGAAUAGGGGAGCCGAAGGGAAACCGAGUCUUAACUGGGCGUUAAGUUGCAGGGUAUAGACCCGAAACCCGGUGAUCUAGCCAUGGGCAGGUUGAAGGUUGGGUAACACUAACUGGAGGACCGAACCGACUAAUGUUGAAAAAUUAGCGGAUGACUUGUGGCUGGGGGUGAAAGGCCAAUCAAAGCGGGAGAUAGCUGGUUCUCCCCGAAAGCUAUUUAGGUAGCGCCUCGUGAAUUCAUCUCCGGGGGUAGAGCACUGUUUCGGCAAGGGGGUCAUCCCGACUUACCAACCCGAUGCAAACUGCGAAUACCGGAGAAUGUUAUCACGGGAGACACACGGCGGGUGCUAACGUCCGUCGUGAAGAGGGAAACAACCCAGACCGCCAGCUAAGGUCCCAAAGUCAUGGUUAAGUGGGAAACGAUGUGGGAAGGCCCAGACAGCCAGGAUGUUGGCUUAGAAGCAGCCAUCAUUUAAAGAAAGCGUAAUAGCUCACUGGUCGAGUCGGCCUGCGCGGAAGAUGUAACGGGGCUAAACCAUG
Molecule: ribosomal RNA, 984 nt
Filed under: Escherichia coli
Lineage: Bacteria; Pseudomonadati; Pseudomonadota; Gammaproteobacteria; Enterobacterales; Enterobacteriaceae
Description: partial 23S ribosomal RNA
Rfam family: Bacterial large subunit ribosomal RNA
Source: RNAcentral